UUUUGCCAAUGUCUUUUUUUUUUUUUUUUUUGUCGCAUUCACGUUAAUGACUCGAGUAAUAAAUUUGUAUUUGCAGGAGAAAAAGAGAGCAAGUGCACCCCAGUGCAUAGGGCUCUGGGUGUAAAUGGACUUCCCCACUAUAUAGCCGAAGAUCAGUUGUCUCUCCAAUCAUCUAUGCAUUCACUAUAGUUUGAUUUAUAGCACUCAGCCUAUGGCUCAAAACAAGUUUCAUUCACUAUUUUGAUUUAUAAAAACCAAGUUUUUGGUUUCAGAAAUUUUAUUGAUAGUUUUUCUCCAAUUGUGCAGGAACUUAACUUAGGUAAUAAGAAGGUAAGAUUUAUGUAUCAGAUUCCCUUCUCAGAAACGAAGUUAUUUUGUUUAUAUACCAGUUUCUUGAUUUAUAGUACGGUAGUAUUCCACGCCCCUCCUAAAAAAAAAGUACAGAAAAUAUAUGUGUGCCACUGAACUUGGAUGUUUAUUUGCAUAUAAAAGCACUACCGCAUGAACUUUGAUGUGGAGGACCCUUGCUUACAGCAAAGAAUGUAUAACUGCAAAUAAGUUUUGCAAAUGUCUUCCUUUUUUUUUAGUUGCAUUUACGUUAAUGACUUGAAUAAUAAAUCUGUAUUUAUUGGAGAAAGAGAAAAAGAGAGCAAGAGCAACCCAGUGCAUAAGGCUCUGGGUGUAAACGGACUCCCCCACCCUAUAACCGAAGAUCAAUUAUCUCUCGGAUCAUCUAAGCAUUCAUUAUAGUUUGAUUUCUAGCACUCAGCCUAUGGCUCAAGAUCAGUUUUAUUCACUAUUUUGAUUUACAAUAACCAAGUUCCUGGUUUCAGAAAUUUUAUCGAUAGUUUUUCUCCAAUUGUGCAGGUACUUAACAUGGGUAACAAGAAGUUAAGAUUUAUGUAACAGAUUUCUUUCCCAGAAACAAAUUUUUUUUGUUUAUACUAGUUCUCCAAUAUGUAGUAUUAUAAUUAUUCCACACCCUCUCCCGCCCCCAAAAAAAAGUACAUGAAAUAUAUAUGUGCCACUAAACUUGGAUGUUUGUUUGCAUGUAAAAGCACUACUACAUGAACUUCGAUGUGGAGGACCCUUGCUUACAGCAAAGAAUGCAGAACUACAGAUAAGUUUUUCCAAUGUCUUCUUCUUUUUCUUUUUUCUUUUUUCCUUUUUUUUUUUUAGUCUUAUUCACGUUAAUGACUUAAGUAAUAAAUCCGUAUUUGCAGGAGAAAGAGAAAAGGAGAGCAAGAGCAACCCAGAGGCUUUGGGUUUAAAUGGACUCCCCCACCCUGUAGCCGAAGAUCAGUUAUCUCUCAAAUCGUCUAAGCAUUCACUAUAGUUUGAUUUCUAGCACUCAGCCUAUGGCUCAAGAUUAGUUUCAUUCACUAUUUUUAUUUACAAGAACCAAGUUCUUGGUUUCAGAAAUUUUAUUGAUAUUUUUUCUCCAAUUGUGCAGGUACUUAACUUGGGUAACAAGAAGUUAAAAUUUAUGUAACAGAUUUCUUUCCCAGAAACAAAGUUAUUUUGCUUAUACUAGUUCUCCAAUUGUAGUACGGAGAAAGAGAGCAAGUGCAACCCAGUGCACAAGGCUCUGGGUGUAUAUGGAUUCCCCCACCAUAUAGCCAAAGAUCAAUUGUCUCUCGAAUCCUCUAAGCAUUCACUAUUGUUUGAUUUCUAGCACUCAGCCUAUUGCUCAAGAUAAGUUUCAUUCACUAUUUUGAUUUACGAUAACCAAGUUCUUGGUUUCAGAAAUUUUGUUGAUAGUUUUUCUCCAAUUGUGCAGGAAUUUAACUUGUGUAACAAGGAGGUAAGAAAUAUGUAUCAGAUUUCUUUCCCAGAAAUGAAGUUAUUAUGUUUAUACCAGUUUCUUAAUAUGUAGUACGGUAAUUAUUCCACGUCCCCUCCCCCAUACUAAAAAAAAAAAGGAAAAAGUGCAGGAAAUAUAUGUGCCACUGAACUUGGAUGUUUGUUUGCAUGUAAAAGUACUACUGCAUGAACUUCGAUGUGGGGGACCCUGCUUACAAGAAAGAAUGUUGAACUGCAGAUAAGUUUUGCCAAUGUCUUCUAAUUUUUUUUUUAAUCACAUUCACGUUAAUGACUUAAGCAAUGAAUCUAUAUCCACAGGAGAAAGAGAAAAGGAGAGCAAGAGCAACCCAGUGCACAAGGUUCUCGCUACUGCAGGGUCUGGGAGGGGCAAUUUUAUAUAUAUAUAUAUAUAUAUAUAUAUUUUUUUUUUGGCAAGCGUCAAGGUGUACUAGUAAGUAGCAAGUCUAGCUAAUGAUUUAUAUGCUGCACAUUUUCAGAACUGAUCUAUCUCCUUCCUUUUUUAUCAUGCGCAUCUUGUUUUAUGAUAUUACUCUAGGAGGGAACAACUUAGUGUGGACAAGUGUUAGGACACUCCUUGCAGUCUAAUCUGAACAAUAGGACUUCUAGUCCAAAGAAUAGGCACCAAUCAAGAAAUCAAUGUAAUGCUUGAACUGGGCCUUAUUUUCCUUGCUUCUGAUAUGUGCAUCUAAUACUUUUUUUGUAGCUUAUUAUAAUUUAAAGCUCUGAUCCAUGUCUUGCUGCAAUUUGGAUUUGCUGCUGCUGUGGCCCAAUAAGGACCAUCACAGAAGGAGAAGAAUGCUUAUAACAGAAGGUUUGUUUUUUGGUAAUUUGCUAUUAGGAUAAUCCAUAUCUUAGAACAACUGUCAGAUUUGAGAGUUCGCCAGGCCGAGUCAAUGUCUUUUUUUUUUUUUUUUUUUUUUUUAGAGAGAGAGAGAGAGAGAGAGAGUUGCUACCAUUGGCUGGUGGACAUCAUGGGCUACCUGAGAUAGUAUCUGCAGCCAAUGCAUACCCUGAGCUAAAUUGGCCAAAUGGAUAGAAUAUGGCAAAAACAUGUUGGCUGGAUAUUCACUUUUUAGUGUUCGUUAGUUAUCACUUGUUUUUUACUGUCAACUAUAUUCUACGUUCUGAAAGCUUGUAGAAUAUCUGUUGCAUGUGUAAGUUUUGAAGGGUGAGAAUUACACCGUCUUAACCUGAAAAUGUCAGGAUACGAUUUCGGCAUUCUGAAAACUUGUAACAUCUUGACAUAAUGUUUAGAAACCAUGGAUCCUCUGAA
Macadamia integrifolia is the source of this 3097-nucleotide long non-coding RNA. RefSeq lists it as uncharacterized. NCBI's taxonomy places the organism in Eukaryota, Viridiplantae, Streptophyta, Magnoliopsida, Proteales, Proteaceae. The transcript is spliced from 2 exons. The record is from RefSeq and is a predicted model, not a curated record.